RNAcentral lists this transfer RNA (23 nucleotides) under Crotaphytus collaris. Its description in RNAcentral is "partial tRNA-Gln". Lineage: Eukaryota; Metazoa; Chordata; Lepidosauria; Squamata; Crotaphytidae. The record is from RNAcentral.
GUUGUAAUUCAACUACAAAAACA